Molecule: ribosomal RNA, 253 nt
Filed under: uncultured bacterium
Lineage: Bacteria
Also listed under: 1 other name
Description: partial 16S ribosomal RNA
Rfam family: Bacterial small subunit ribosomal RNA
Source: RNAcentral
UACGUAGGAUGCAAGCGUUGUCCGGAAUUAUUGGGCGUAAAGGGCGCGCAGGCGGCUUGUCAAGUCAGAUGUGAAAUAUCCCGGCUUAACUGGGAGGGGUCAUUUGAAACUGGCAGGCUAGAGUACAACAGAGGUCCGUGGAAUUCCCGGUGUAGUGGUGAAAUGCGUAGAUAUCGGGAGGAACACCAGUGGCGAAGGCGACGGACUGGGUUGAAACUGACGCUGAGGCGCGAAGGCUAGGGGAGCGAACAGG